This 440-nucleotide ribosomal RNA is filed under the name uncultured bacterium. Its description in RNAcentral is "partial 16S ribosomal RNA". It matches the Rfam family "Bacterial small subunit ribosomal RNA", at positions 338 to 795 of the family's 1533-position model. The record is from RNAcentral.
CCUACGGGCGGCAGCAGUGGGGAAUAUUGCACAAUGGGCGAAACCCUGAUGCAGCGACGCCGCGUGAGUGAAGAAGGAAGACGGUAGGGAAAGCUCUAUCAGCAGGGAAGAAAAUGACGGUACCUGAGUAAGAAGCCCCGGCUAACUACGUGCCAGCAGCCGCGGUAAUACGUAGGGGGCAAGCGUUAUCCGGAUUUACGGGGUGUAAAGGGAGCGUAGACGGCAGUGCAAGUCCGGAGUGAAAGGCGGGGGGUCAACCCCCGGACUGCGCUGGAAACUGUACGGCUGGAGUGCAGGAGAGGUAAGUGGAAUGCCUAGUGUAGCGGUGAAAUGCGUAGAUAUUAGGAGGAACACCAGUGGCGAAGGCGGCUUACUGGACUGUAACUGACGUUGAGGCACGAAAGCGUGGGGAGCAAACAGGAUUAGAUACCCUUGUAGUC